CCCUGCCCGAGGCUCUUUUCACAUUGUGCUACUGAGCCCAACCAAGCAGUGCAAUGUAAAAAGGGCAUUGGGUUGGUG
This 78-nucleotide microRNA precursor is filed under the name Ophiophagus hannah (king cobra). Its description in RNAcentral is "mir-130 microRNA precursor family". It matches the Rfam family "mir-130 microRNA precursor family". From Rfam's summary of the family: The hairpin precursors (represented here) are predicted based on base pairing and cross-species conservation -- their extents are not known. The record is from Rfam by way of RNAcentral. Lineage: Eukaryota; Metazoa; Chordata; Lepidosauria; Squamata; Elapidae.